This 337-nucleotide ribosomal RNA is filed under the name Lilioceris schneideri. Its description in RNAcentral is "partial 12S rRNA". The record is from RNAcentral. Lineage: Eukaryota; Metazoa; Arthropoda; Insecta; Coleoptera; Chrysomelidae.
AUUAGUAUUUGUUAUGUUCUUGAAAAUUAAAAGAUUUGGCGGUAUUUUAGUCUAUUCAGAGGAACUUGUCCUAUAAUUGAUAGCCCACGAUUUACUUAACUUUUUUUCUUAGCUUGUAUAUCGUCGUUUUUGAAAAUUUUAUGAAAAUUAUUAAUUUUCAAGAUUUUUAAUUAAAAAUUAAAUCAGAUCAAGAUGUAGCUAAUAAAAAAGUAGAGAUGAGUUACAUUAAAUUUAUUUGAAAAUUCUUAUUAGAAUAAUAUUUUGAAUAUGGAUUUGAAAGUAAUUUUAUUUAAUUAUUUAAAAUGAUUUUAGCUCUAAAGUAUGUACACAUCGCCCG